UCGGGAAUUUUGGGCAAUGGGCGAAAGCCUGACCCAGCAACGCCGCGUGGGGGAUGAAGGUCUUCGGAUUGUAAACCCCUGUCGAAUGGGACGAAAGACUCGCGAGUUAAUACUUCGCGGGAGUGACGGUACCGUUAAAGGAAGCCACGGCUAACUCUGUGCCAGCAGCCGCGGUAAUACAGAGGUGGCAAGCGUUGUUCGGAAUUACUGGGCGUAAAGGGCGCGUAGGCGGCCUACUAAGUCAGACGUGAAAUCCCCCGGCUUAACCUGGGAACUGCGUCUGAUACUGGAAGGCUUGAGUAUGGGAGAGGGAUGUAGAAUUCCAGGUGUAGCGGUGAAAUGCGUAGAUAUCUGGAGGAAUACCGGUGGCGAAGGCGGCAUCCUGGACCAUUACUGACGCUGAGGCGCGAAAGCUAGGGGAGCAAACGGGAUUAGAUACCCCCGUAGUCCCUGAGCGGGCUGGCAAGGCGCAU
RNAcentral lists this ribosomal RNA (473 nucleotides) under uncultured bacterium. RNAcentral describes it as "bacterial SSU rRNA". It matches the Rfam family "Bacterial small subunit ribosomal RNA", at positions 355 to 825 of the family's 1533-position model. The record is from RNAcentral.